RNAcentral lists this long non-coding RNA (510 nucleotides) under Mytilus galloprovincialis (Mediterranean mussel). Lineage: Eukaryota; Metazoa; Mollusca; Bivalvia; Mytilida; Mytilidae. The record is from RNAcentral.
GCCUAUGUCGCUCACCUGCAAUGUCAGGAACUACAACCUUUUAGUAACAAUCAACAAUAAAGUGGGAUUACUCGAUCAAGAGUUCACUGAAAAUUUUAGUCAUUUUGACAUAUUUAGAUCCUAUCCUGGUGGUCAUGUUUCAUUCUUAAAUUAAAGUUUCUAGAUUUCUGUUAUGGUUUUCAAGAUAAAAGGGGAAAAAAUCAGGAAAUUUAUGGCAAUAAUUAUCUUUAAAAAGCAAUAACUUCAAUAACAAGUCGACUGAGGAUCUCGGCCUUGAUAAUUUAAUUGUAGGUUUAGUCCUGCUGGUCAUUUUCGCUUUCAAAGUUUCUAUUUAUUAUAUAUUAUAGUUUUCAACAUAAUAAGCAAACAUGCAAAGAUAGUAAUGAUAAAGAAAUAAUUGAUGCUAGCUAUUAUACUCUAUUGUAGUUUUAACAUGGGUAGGCAUUAUAUUCGUGAUUUUGCCCGAGCGAUAGCGAAAGCUUAAAACCACGAAUAUAAUGACUACCCAUG